GAUGAACGCUGGCGGCGUGCCUAAUACAUGCAAGUCGAGCGAACGGACGAGAAGCUUGCUUCUCUGAUGUUAGCGGCGGACGGGUGAGUAACACGUGGAUAACCUACCUAUAAGACUGGGAUAACUUCGGGAAACCGUAGCUAAUACCGGAUAAUAUUUUGAACCGCAUGGUUCAAAAGUGAAAGACGGUCUUGCUGUCACUUAUAGAUGGAUCCGCGCUGCAUUAGCUAGUUGGUAAGGUAACGGCUUACCAAGUCAACGAUGCAUAGCCGACCUGAGAGGGUGAUCGGCCACACUGGAACUGAGACACGGUCCAGACUCCUACGGGAGGCAGCAGUAGGGAAUCUUCCGCAAUGGGCGAAAGCCUGACGGAGCAACGCCGCGUGAGUGAUGAAGGUCUUCGGAUCGUAAAACUCUGUUAUUAGGGAAGAACAUAUGUGUAAGUAACUGUGCACAUCUUGACGGUACCUAAUCAGAAAGCCACGGCUAACUACGUG
This 497-nucleotide ribosomal RNA is filed under the name uncultured bacterium. RNAcentral's name for it is "partial 16S ribosomal RNA". It matches the Rfam family "Bacterial small subunit ribosomal RNA", at positions 28 to 507 of the family's 1533-position model. The record is from RNAcentral.